RNAcentral lists this ribosomal RNA (557 nucleotides) under uncultured bacterium. RNAcentral's name for it is "partial 16S ribosomal RNA". It matches the Rfam family "Bacterial small subunit ribosomal RNA", at positions 355 to 903 of the family's 1533-position model. The record is from RNAcentral.
UAGGGAAUCUUCCACAAUGGACGCAAGUCUGAUGGAGCAACGCCGCGUGAGUGAAGAAGGCUUUCGGGUCGUAAAACUCUGUUGUUGGAGAAGAAUGGUCGGCAGAGUAACUGUUGUCGGCGUGACGGUAUCCAACCAGAAAGCCACGGCUAACUACGUGCCAGCAGCCGCGGUAAUACGUAGGUGGCAAGCGUUAUCCGGAUUUAUUGGGCGUAAAGCGAGCGCAGGCGGUUUUUUAAGUCUGAUGUGAAAGCCCUCGGCUUAACCGAGGAAGUGCAUCGGAAACUGGGAAACUUGAGUGCAGAAGAGGACAGUGGAACUCCAUGUGUAGCAGUGAAAUGCGUAGAUAUAUGGAAGAACACCAGUGGCGAAGGCGGCUGUCUGGUCUGUAACUGACGCUGAGGCUCGAAAGCAUGGGUAGCGAACAGGAUUAGAUACCCUGGUAGUCCAUGCCGUAAACGAUGAAUGCUAGGUGUUGGAGGGUUUCCGCCCUUCAGUGCCGCAGCUAACGCAUUAAGCAUUCCGCCUGGGGAGUACGACCGCAAGGUUGAAACUCU